GUCUCUGUAGCUUAACUCGGAAAAAGCGCCCCUCCUACGAAGGGGCAGAUACGGAUUCAAAUCCUGUCAGAGACGCCA
RNAcentral lists this transfer RNA (78 nucleotides) under Microcaldota archaeon. RNAcentral's name for it is "tRNA-Val". It matches the Rfam family "tRNA". From Rfam's summary of the family: Transfer RNA (tRNA) molecules are approximately 80 nucleotides in length. Their secondary structure includes four short double-helical elements and three loops (D, anti-codon, and T loops). Lineage: Archaea; Nanobdellati; Microcaldota. The record is from RNAcentral. RNAcentral also lists the same sequence under 1 other name.